UUCAGGGCAAGAGCCUUUAAGGAAAGGGCAGUAGCAGGCACAAGAAGGACCCAGUGAAGGAGGGAUUGGAUCCAGUUCAUCUGAAUGCUGUAAUUGGUUACAUCCUCCAGCAAGUUCAGGACGACAAAUGUGCAGCUCAAAAGCAGCCUGUCCUCCAUGCUAAGCAGGGAGAUUAAGUAGCCUGGAAAGCAGGUGGUCCUGUAAAUACAGGGUGUUUUUUUUAGCUGCACCAAAUUUUUAAAAUUAGAAAAAUAUAUACCUUGGUCACGUUAGCUUUACCAUUCGAGUGUACGGAUUGGCGGCCUCUAGAUACAGAGCAAUUUAGUCACUUGAGUGUGUAAUUAGUGAAGUUAAGCUAAUUAACUUUCUAAUUAUCAACUAUAGGUGGCUACAGCAAAUGAGUACUUUGGGGCCCGUCAUCGACACUACCUAUCCCAACGAUGAAAUUUUGAAUAGCGGAGUUCAUGUGGGAGCUACACGAGCAAUUAGUUCCCUUUGGCAAGCUUCUUGAAACCGAAUUAGGCCGCAAAAAGAGCGUCUGUGUCGUCGAUGUCACCGCCCCCCUGCCUUUCGUAACAUCUCCGAGGUAAGCGCCAGUCCGGCCCCGCGAGCAGCUUGCAUUAUUUCCUUGCUAUCUGCGGCGUUCGCAGUCGACGCUACAGACUGAUAUGAUGCCGUGCCUGCAGUAUCUAAAAGCCCAAUUUAAGGAGCAUUGUUGGCGCUACAGCGCAACAUGAUGCCCAACAGAAUGACGAAGUAAAUUUGGUGGCCCACCGUCAUUGAAGCGCUGGGCCACCGCUGCAGACAGACAGGAAAUAAUGCAAGCUGCUCGUUGAGCUGGACCGGCGGAGACGUGACGAAAGGGGAGGGGGAGCUCCCACAUGAACUCCGCUAUUCAAAAUUUGACUGUUGGGUUAGGUAGUACUCAUUUGUACUCAGUACUCAUUUGCUGUAGCUACCUAUUGUUGAUAAUUAGAAAAUUAAUUAGUGUAACUUCGGUAAUUAUGCAGGUAAGUGCUGAAAUUGCUAUGUAUCUAGAGGCUGCCAAUCCGUACACUUGAAUGGUAAAGAUAACGUGACCAAGAUUCACAUCUUUCUAAUUUCAAAAAUUUGGUCCAACUAAAAAAAAAACACCCCGUAUGUGCUAUCUAGUCAUGUUUGCGAUUUCUAUGUCAGCACAUUCUUAAAUAAAUAUGAACCAACUCAACUA
Dermacentor silvarum is the source of this 1210-nucleotide long non-coding RNA. RefSeq lists it as uncharacterized. The record is from RefSeq and is a predicted model, not a curated record. NCBI's taxonomy places the organism in Eukaryota, Metazoa, Arthropoda, Arachnida, Ixodida, Ixodidae. The transcript is spliced from 2 exons.